RNAcentral lists this unclassified non-coding RNA (380 nucleotides) under uncultured bacterium. Its description in RNAcentral is "contains 16S-23S intergenic spacer region". The record is from RNAcentral.
CCCGGUUUGUCACCGGCAGUCUCGCAUGAGUCCCCAACUAAAUGCUGGCAACAUGCGACGGGGGUUGCGCUCGUUGCGGGACUUAACCCAACAUCUCACGACACGAGCUGACGACAGCCAUGCAGCACCUGUGUCGGCUCCCCUUACGGGGUCGGGCCCCUUUCGGUUUCCUACCACCGAGAUGUCAAGCCCAGGUAAGGUUUUUCGCGUUGCGUCGAAUUGAACCACAUGCUCCACCGCUUGUGCGGGCCCCCGUCAAUUCCUUUGAGUUUCAGCCUUGCGGCCGUACUCCCCAGGCGGGGCACUUCAUGCGUUAGCGCCGGUACCCUGAGGGUCGCUCCCCAAAGCACCUAGUGCCCAUCGUUUACGGCGUGGACUAC